Long non-coding RNA from Etheostoma spectabile (orangethroat darter), 74 nucleotides. RefSeq lists it as uncharacterized. The transcript has 3 exons. The record is from RefSeq and is a predicted model, not a curated record. NCBI's taxonomy places the organism in Eukaryota, Metazoa, Chordata, Actinopteri, Perciformes, Percidae.
GUUUUAGUGCUUUUUAUUGAUUUGAAACCGUGACUUUUUCAAACCACAAUAUACCUUGAAACCGGUAACCGACC